CGAGUCGGCCAGGCGAUCGCGGCACCUGGCGGUGUCGAGGAAAGUCCGGACUCCACAGAGCAGGGUGGUGGGUAACACCCACCCGGGGUGACCCGCGGGACAGUGCCACAGAAAGCAAACCGCCCGAAGUUCGCAAGAGCAUUCGGGUAAGGGUGAAACGGUGGUGUAAGAGACCACCAGCGUUCCAGGUGACUGGAGCGGCUCGGCAAACCCCACCCGGAGCAAGAUCAAGAAGGGAGUUCGCUCCCGCGGAGAUGUUCGAGGGCUGCUCGCCCGAGUCUCCGGGUAGAUCGCACCAGGCCGCCGGCAACGGCGGUCGCAGAUGGAUGAUCGCCACCGUCCUUGCGACGGGACAGAAUCCGGCUUACCGGCCGGCUCGCCCU
This 383-nucleotide RNase P RNA is filed under the name Microlunatus elymi. RNAcentral's name for it is "Bacterial RNase P class A". It matches the Rfam family "Bacterial RNase P class A". From Rfam's summary of the family: Ribonuclease P (RNase P) is a ubiquitous endoribonuclease, found in archaea, bacteria and eukarya as well as chloroplasts and mitochondria. The record is from Rfam by way of RNAcentral. Lineage: Bacteria; Bacillati; Actinomycetota; Actinomycetes; Propionibacteriales; Propionibacteriaceae.